GGCCUACGGGGGGCAGCAGUAGGGAAUUUUCGUCAAUGGGCGCAAGCCUGAACGAGCAAUGCCGCGUGAACGAGGAAGGUCUUCGGAUCGUAAAGUUCUGUUGAAGGGGAAAAAGAGCGGAGAGAGGAAAUGCUUUCUGAUUGAUAUUACCCUUCGAGGAAGUCACGGCUAACUACGUGCCAGCAGCCGCGGUAAUACGUAGGUGGCGAGCGUUAUCCGGAAUGAUUGGGCGUAAAGGGAGCGUAGGCGGCCUGAUAAGUCUGGAGUGAAAGGUACCGGCUCAACCGGUACAGGCUCUGGAAACU
This 305-nucleotide ribosomal RNA is filed under the name uncultured bacterium. RNAcentral describes it as "bacterial SSU rRNA". It matches the Rfam family "Bacterial small subunit ribosomal RNA", at positions 335 to 634 of the family's 1533-position model. The record is from RNAcentral.